This 503-nucleotide ribosomal RNA is filed under the name uncultured bacterium. Its description in RNAcentral is "partial 16S ribosomal RNA". It matches the Rfam family "Bacterial small subunit ribosomal RNA", at positions 30 to 523 of the family's 1533-position model. The record is from RNAcentral.
AUUGAACGCUGGCGGCAGGCUUAACACAUGCAAGUCGAGCGGGGGAGGUUACUUCGGUAAUUGACCUAGCGGCGGACGGGUGAGUAAUACUUAGGAAUCUGCCUAUUAAUGGGGGACAACAUCUCGAAAGGAAUGCUAAUACCGCAUACGCCCUACGGGGGAAAGCAGGGGAUCACUUGUGACCUUGCGUUAAUAGAUGAGCCUAAGUCGGAUUAGCUAGUUGGUGGGGUAAGGGCCUACCAAGGCGACGAUCUGUAGCGGGUCUGAGAGGAUGGUCCGCCACACGUGGACGGAGACACGGCCCAGACUCCGACGGGGGGCAGCAGUGGGGAAUAUUGGGAAAUGGGGGGAACCCUGAUCCAGCCAUGCCGCGUGUGUGAAGAAGGCCUUAUGGUUGUAAAGCACUUUAAGCGAGGAGGAGGCUCUUUUGGUUAAUACCCAAGAUGAGUGGACGUUACUCGCAGAAUAAGCACCGGCUAACUCUGUGCCAGCCGCCGCCGUAA